GCAGGAGAGUAGCUAGAGACGGGGCUUCGGGGGCGGGAAGGCCUGGCUUUAGGUGAGUGCCUAUGGGCACGUCACUACCUCUCAAUGGCCUGGGCAACUCCCACAUUUGAGGCUGAAAAGAAAACGUGACCUGCAUGGGUGACGGGAAUUACCCCGGCAGCGAGCUCCGGAAACCAGAGAAAUCCUGGGGUCGGACACAAAAACACAAGCUGGCCCCGUCCCGGGAAAGCUUGCACGCUGCUAGAAUACACUGUUUCCACAUUUUCUUCCUAUCAGCAGCAGCUAACAUUUGUGUCGAGGCUCCUGCGCGCUUUACAAAUAUUAUUUCACAUCAGCAGUGAAACAAGCCAGUUCCAGUAGACUCGGGAUGGGAAAUGCCAUCUGCAUCCAGAGGGAGAACUGAAUAAAUGCAGGUCAAAGCAGAGUUUUUACACUUUUUUUGGUGGGCUUCUUUUUUUUCCCCUUUUGUUCUAAUUCUUCUUUCACAACAAGACUGUAUAUGUAUAACAUCUAACAUCACCUGCUAUCUUGGGGAAAGGGGUAAGGGAGAAAAAAAUUGGAACUCAAAAUCCCACAAAAAUUAAUGUUGAAAAUAUUCAUGUAAUUGGGAGGAGGGGAAUACUAGAGAAAAAGAAUUCAUUUGAUCCUCACCACAACCUGACAGGUAGGUAUUAUCCCUUUUUUUUACAGUUGAGGAAAUUGAGGUAAAAACAGAAAAUGUCUUGUCCAGGGGCACAACCCAGUGCUCUACCCACUGUAGCACCUAGCCGCCUCAACAUGACAGGUUGAUCAGUAAAUACAUUAAUGAUUUGAGAAGAGUACUAGCAAUGAGUUCUGGCUUCCCCCCAAAAAUCUUUGCAUUAAGUUCACAAUUUCCUCUAACUCAGUUUGACUUUCCACAUUACCAUCUGUAAUGUUCUCCUCUCUAAAGUAUAAUCUCCUCUGGGACCAGGUUUCUUGGGGGGCUUCUGGAGGCAGCCUUCCUUUCAGUUCUGAGUAAUCACCUCAAAUGCAGCCAGCUGUUAAAAGUUCAGAUCCUUUCUUGUCUCCUUCCUUGGGCCCGGUUAGCUUUCUUAGAGGCCUCUCUCUCUCCUUGGUUCCAAGAGCUCCUGCCACUAGUCCUUUGCCUCUCCCAGCUUCAGCCUCCAGACAGCACAAAGGUGGAAGAUGGAAUGAAUCUGGCUCUUCAGAGAGUGGGAUUGUGGGUUCUCUCUGGGUUUGUGGGAGCUCCUGGACUGAAUCCUGACUUGUGAAUCUCCCAGAGUCUCUUUGGCCCUGAGAACUUUUUGCUUAUAUGCUGUACACUGAGUAUACUCCAAUCAUUACAUCACUAGGAAACCAUUAUUUGUUGUAGGAUUAAAUCAAGGCUAAAUUAGAUUUAACCAUUCUCUCAAUUCCACUGACUUAGCACCUCGUAAGAAUUCUAACCAUCAACUGUUGCUCCCCUCCCUCAGUGUCCUCCAAAGUUUCCAGUUCUGGGGUGGGGACCAAGGCAGAGUGGGUAACUGAACUAGGCCAUUGCCAGCAGCAGAGAAUGAAGAGAAUAUAUUCCAUAUAUCACAUGGAAUAGAUCCAGAAGGGUAUAGUGGAGCCAGACAAGCACAGGUACAAAUGUCAGCCUGAGUUUAGUGUGGAAAGCCCGAGGGAAGAGGCAGCCAUUGAAGAUUCUUGAGCAGGGCAGUCAUCACUUCAUACCUGAGCUUUGGGAAGAUCACUUUGACAGUUGUGAGGAAGAGACUGGAAGGAGGGACGUCAGUCGGAAAGGUGUUGCAGUAAUUUAGGUGAGGGGGGGGAAGAGGCUGAAGGUGAGUAACCGAUCAGCUGGGGACAUGAAGGGCAGGAACGUGGAGGACACUUCUAAGGUUGCACAGCAGGAGGUUGCCAAGAUUCUAGGGCAGAGAUGGUCCCAGCCUACCCAGACCCUCCAUGGGGUCACAGAAUGCCCGGGGGAGACUUGGAGGCCUGGCCCAUUCCUUGUACUUCUGCAGCCAUUAAGCUCAGCCAGCCAGGGGUCCCUGACUUCUCUCCUACCUGGAAGCCCCAUGGCCACAACUUCCUGGGAGGAAGCCCAGAGAAGCAGCUUGAAAUCGACUUCUCAAGAGCUGCAGAUCAUAAACUGAGAACUGAAAGGGCCAACCCUUCUUGUCAGGGGAAAAACCAGGUCCAAAAAUACGGACUUCCUGGAACUCUAGAUCGAGAGCUAGAAGGCCCCUCAGGGGCUAAUCUAGUCCGAUCCCCUCUUUUUACAGAUGAGGAAACCAGUGUACAGGGUGGCUAAGUGACAAGUUCAUACAGGUAACAUAAGAGCCAGGAUUUGAGCCGAGGUCCUGUUUCAGAAUCCAGCAAUCAACCAAAUUAUUGUCUCUUAUCUUUGUCUCACAUCCAAUGUUUAUAGUAUGAGGCAGAUCGUAGAUGCUCCAAAAAAACUGGUUCAUUUUCCAUUUGUGAGCUGUCACUCUAAUUUCCGAACAUUGUGGCGGCCUCUGGCCACAGGUAGAAAGAAGUUCAUUCUUGGGAAGUUCCCUUCUCCCACAAAUACAAGGGAGGAUCUGAGAUUUCUUCUACAAAUAGCAGAUAUUUACAUAUUUUGCAUCCCAAAUAUUCCCAGCUUCCCAUCUUGUCCCAAGUAUUCAUUGUCUAUUUAGACAAUGAACAAAAGACUUAUUAGCCCAAUACAAGCCUAAUUCAAUAAUUAUCAACAGGAAACUUUGGCCAAGGAAAGGUAAACCAUUACCUGGGUGGAAUGACUCGGGGGGAAAUCAUUUACUUUCUCUCUGGAAUAAUUAAGGGAAAGAUUUGUGGACUUGCACCAUUGUGCCCAGAAGCCAAGUCAAAUGAUCAUUUUUGUUUAGUCACUAAUCUGCACCAUUGCUUGCCCCGAUCUCCAGUGGUUGGUUUGUCACUCCAUGGGCCCAAGAAUGGAUUUAGGUCUGCAAAACUUCCAUUAGUUAAGGGGUAAAUGUGAAAUAGUGGAAAGAGCACUAAGGUUGAAAUCAAUGAAAAGGCAAUCCUUUUUUAAUAAAUACUUUCCCCCAGAUAUAUGCAGAUAGAUAUAUUUUGCCAAAAGGUACCUUUAUUUAGGAGAAGAGAUUACAGACAAAAUGAAGAGGUGAAAUAGGCACCAGGAGAGGUAAAUAUGAAACCGACUCAGAGAGCAAUAGGGUUAAGCAAAGAAAGAAGUUUGGAUGAAGUCAUUAAACGACUCUGUUAUUAUAAAUGCUAUUUAGACGUAAGUGUGCCAUUGACUGGCAGGCGAAAUCCAUAGAGAAGUUUAGCAGACUAACCAGUUAGCUAUAUUAAGGAGAAAGACAUCAUUAAAAGGAAGACUUUAUGAGGAGGAUAAGAGCACCUCAUAAAUCCUGAAAAGGACUAGCUAAAGAUAAUUUUUAACAUCCAUUUUUUAAACAUUCAUUUAGACAUUUUAAAAUGUCUGUCUAUACAAAACAUAUUACCAUACUAGUCACAUGAAAAAAGACACAGACCCAAAGGAAAAAAAUUGGGAAAAAAUAUAAAAAGUGAAAAAUAGUUUGUCAAUCUGAAUUGGAACUCUUCAGUUCUUUUUCUGGAGAUGGACAGCAUUUUUUCAUCAUGAGUCCUUUGGAACUGUCUUGGAUCACUAUAUUGCUGAAAAGAGCUAAUGUAUUCACAUUCAUCAGUAUGUAGUAGUAUUGCUGAACACAAUGUCCUCUUGGUUCUGCUCAUUUGCUUUCCAGGUUUUUCUGAAAUCUUCCUGCUGACCAUUUAUUGUAAACAUCCAGCGCAACUUCUUCAGCAGGAUUCCCCAAGUGAUGGACUUCCCCUCAAUUUCCAAUUCUUUGUCAACACAAAAGCUGCUAUAUUUUUAUACAAAAAGGUCCUACCUCUACCUCCACUUUUUAAAUCUCUUUGAGAUAAGAGAUCUAAUAAUUGUAGUGGUAAUUGCUGGCUCAAAGGGUAUGCAGAGUUUGAUAGUCCAAAUUGCUCUCCGGAAAGGUUGCAUCAGUUUACAACUCCACCAACAAUGUAUCAGUGUCCCAAUUUUUCCACAUUCCCUCAACAUUAAUUAUUUUCCUUUUCUGUCACAAUAACUAAUCUGAUAGGUGAAAUGGUACCUCAGAAUUAUUUUAAUUUGUACUUCUCUAAUCAAUAGUGAAUUAGAGCACUGAAAGGGCAAUUCUUAAAAGAACAAAAUUGACAAAACACAUAAAAAAUGUUCAAAUCAAAAAAUGCCCAUAUCGAAAAUUAGGGUUUACGACCUCAAUGUUGAAUCAGGACAUCCAAAUGGUAACCUGAUGUCAAAUUGGCAAAGGCAAUAAAAGCUGACAAUUCAGUGAUGACAACCAACCAAGAGGCACACAGGUAUCAUGCUAAUAGAGGUUUGAAUGGGUUCAAUCAUUCUAGAAAGUGAUACAGACUUGUGGUCAGUAGUCGCACCACCAGUCCCACACGUACCCCAAGGAAGUUGAUGGGGGAAAACCUACACCUACAAAAACACACUAUUUGUAACAGCAAAAAACUAUAAAUAAACUAAAUAUCUGGUCAUUGAAAGGCUAAAUAAAUCAUGGCAAUACUACGAUGCAAUGAAAAAUGAAAAGGUGGUUUGGCAUAUUGGAGGGAGAGCCAGUCUUGAGUCAGAGCAACUUGAGUUCAACUCAACCCAUGUGAGCCUGGACAAGUCCCAACCCUUGAUCCUCAGUUUCCCUAUCUUUUCAACUGUAAAAUGAGAGAACUGAACAAGAGGAGUCCCUUUCGGCUCCAGGGCUAAACUCUAUAACCUUAGAAUUAGUUGGCUGAUCCAUACAGGCUUCGUGCCACUAGGCAUCCCACAACCCCUUAGUUCCAUAGGCAACUCUACAAAAUAUUUUCAGAUACGCUUGGAUAUAAAAGUAGGCAGGAGAUAAUAGUGGAGAGUGCCGAGCUGGAAUCAGGAAGACUGCCUCAGAGAUCUUACUAGCUGGGAGAUCCUGGGCAAGGUAUUUAAGCUCUCUGCCUCAGAUUCCCCAUCUACAAAACUGGGAUAAUAGCAGCAUCUGCUUUCCUGACUCAAGAUAAAAUGAGACACGUAUGUGUAUUUUGCAAACCUUAAAUCACUGCAUAUAUAAGCAUAUAUAUAUACACACACAUACAUACACACACACACACAUACGCUAACAUGAAGAGAAAUAUAUGUAGAUACAACAAAUGUAAAUGCUAGCCAUCAUUUCUAGAUUAUGAUAAAAUAUUAGAGGCAUUAGCUAUUUGAGGUAAGGAAAGAGUACAUUCCAGGCACCAAGGCCAUGUGGCAGCAGCAUAAAAUGAAUGGAGUCGCAUGGAACAGAUCUGGAAGAAACGGUGGAGCCAGACAAGCAAGAGCUCCAAAUGCCAGCCUGAGUUUGGGUGGAAAUCCAGAGGAAAGAAGCAGCCAUUGAAGAUUGUUGAGCAGGGCAGUCAUGACUUCAUACCUGAGCUUUGGCAAAGUCCCUCUCUGAUAGUUGUGAGGAUUGGAAAGAAGACAUCAGAAAAAUACUGCAAUAAUCCACGUGAGGGUGAUGGUUGAGUGGAGAAAAAGGGAUGAGUGAGAGGGAUGAUGUGAAGAUAGGCUCGAUGGGAGGCAGAAGGGGCAGUGAUAAGGAAGACACUUCUAAGGUUGCAAACUAGGAGGUCACCAUGAUUCUAGCGCAGAGAUGGUCCAGAUUAUACGAACUAAAGGUAGUUGUCUACAAGGACUCUGUCCGGACCCACCUUCUCUUCAAUCUCUGUACUGUUCUACUUGAUGACUUCAUCAGCUCCCAUGGUUUCAAUUCACAUCUCUAUGUUGAUCAUUCUCAGAUCUGCUUAUUCAGCCCCUUUGGUCCUACAGAAUCGAAUUUCCAAUUGACACCUGUGUGUGCGUGUGAAUGUGUGUAUGUGGGUAUACACAGGUAUAUAUACACACAUAUAUUUGUACAUACUUGUCUGCAUGUUAUCUCCCCCACUUGACUGUGAGAUCCUCAGAGGAGGGAUUAACUUUUGCUAGUUUUUGUAUUCCUUAUAUUUAACACAAAGCCUGGCACUUAAUACUCAUUGGCUGACUAAAUAAUGGGAAGGAGUUCCCAAAAACCCAAUUAAAUCACAAGUCUGGACAAAAUAUUUUUAAGGAUUCAACAGAAACAAUACAGUGUAACUCUUACAAAGUCUUUUAAAGAGUUAAAAAAAAAAAUUGAACCAAAAGAACAUAACUAUGUGAACACAUAGAAAAGUACCCCAAAAAGGACUGAGAAAAUAUAAUGUGAUACCUGAGAGUUAAAGGACAGGAGGGAAGAGGGGAUCUACCCUCAGAAUCUAAUGGUCCAUUUUUUCUGAUUUCCAGGGUUGUAUUAGGGAAGGUGUGGAAUUGUUAUAGGUCUCCAAAAGUCUCUUCUGAGACCUUUUUUUUUUUUUUUUUUGGGGGGGGGGGGGAAUAUUCCAAAUAGGAACCUCAAUAUCCUUGUCUGAAUUCUGAGAUUCAAUCCAAUUUACCCCCCCUUUCUCUUGUAUGUACAGUUGUUUGCAUAUUGCCUUUCCCUAUCCCCAAUCAGAAUAUAAGUUCUUUGAGGGCAGGGACUGUUUUUGCCAAAUUGCCUUCCCACUCUAAUAUUUGAAACAGUUAACCAAUUGAUUCUUUUUACUUUGUAGUGUGAAGGGGAACUGGGGCCAGACAAGGGCCAGCUUUAAUUGGGAAGGAAUUAAAAAAUAACUCUUCUAGUCAUUCCACUGGUUAAUAUUCAUUUGGAUUAAGGUCUUACUCUUUUAGAAUGCAAAUACCUAUCAAUCAUUUAUAGCAUAAUGUUAAUUCAUAAAGCCCAAACAGCUACCAAUCAAUACAAUAAUUCAGCAAACAUUUAUUAAGGCCUGUAUUAAAUGCAAAGGCUACACAGAUACAAGUAACAGUCCUAUCACUGAAACUUACGUCCUAUGGGGUAGAAUAUAAAUAAGCUCAUUAAAAACUAAGAGAAGGAAAAUUUGAUUUGAGAUGAAAUAUAAUUUUUAACCCUUAAAUAAUUUGAAAGAGGGAAAACCUGAACCAAGUCCUUUAGCAGGAACCUGGAACUGCCCAGAGAAUAAUAAAGCAGAGAGAAGGAAAGAUAGGUAUUGAACUAAAGCAUAGAUUGAUUCCAAUUACACGUAAUUUUGCUGAUGCUGUUUUUGAUAAUUCUGUGGCCUAUGUAUGUCCUGCAUAAACUAAAUUAUAACUUUUCCAAUGAGGAUCCACUGAGGAAUCUUCUUUGAACUGUUCAUAACUAGGAAUCUUCUUUUCCCAAAGAACAAAAUUCUGCUCAAUCCUUUCCUUGGUCUUAGAUUAGUUGCAAUCUUAUCCAAUAUAAUAAAAGUCUUGUUUCUAGAGAAAAAAGCACAGUCCUCACCCAGUUUAUUUCUUCAACAAAUGCUCACCUUGAAUCCUUCCAUGUAUAAGGCACCAUGCUAAGUGGAAGGCAUCCAGAGUUACCAGCAACCCCUUGUAUAACUAUCUAGAAACCAAACAGAAGAAAUGCAGUAAGGUUCCAAGUGAAACUCAGAGGAUGGAGUUAUUCAGAAGGUAUUCAUCACAGCGGAGGAAACGGGGGAAAUGGGAGGAAAAAGAGGGAGAAUUCAGAGAUAGGGUCUGAGUUUAAGGAAUGGCAAGUGGCCCAGUUUAUUUCAGAGGGAAGUUGGGACUAGAGCAGCAUCCAGAUCUGAGAACUGCAAAGGCAGAAAAACGUGGGGACGCUUCCCACACCCAGAAUGUUCUUUCCUCCAUUUCAGCCCAUCCUCUCCAGCUGUCAAACUGAUCUCCUAAAGUGCAAGUGAUCAUGUCACCCUCCUAAUUAAUAAACUCCUGUAACCCCUAUCACCCCUAGGAUCAAGUACAGAAUCCUCCCCCUGGUGUGUGCAAAGUCCUUCACCGCCUGCCUCAUCCUUCACCUUUCCGGGCUUUUCAGGCACACUCUGACCCGGCGCUGCUUCUCCCGAGCAGCUGCACCUCCGAACCCGGAGCACCGUCUGUGGCCGUCGCCCAGGGCCGGCCGGAGCCCUCUCGCUCUCGUCUCCGAGCUUCCUGCGGUCCCCGCUAACGCCCCCACCGACCCGCAGCGUCAGGGCCUCCCACUGGCCGCCCCCAGUUCCCCUGCCUGCCCGUCCGUUCCCCUGCCUGCCCGUCCGUCCGUCUCGCUCGCACACAGCUGUUUGCACGGUGAACGGCUCCAUUCCUCCCUUAAAGCAGGGGAUCCGUGGGGCC
This 8191-nucleotide long non-coding RNA is filed under the name Sarcophilus harrisii (Tasmanian devil). RNAcentral describes it as "lncRNA (ENSSHAG00000023091.1)". The record is from RNAcentral. Lineage: Eukaryota; Metazoa; Chordata; Mammalia; Dasyuromorphia; Dasyuridae.